GACGAACGCUGGCGGCGUGCCUAAUACAUGCAAGUCGAGCGAAUCAAUAGGAGCUUGCUCCUGUUGGUUAGCGGCGGACGGGUGCGUAACACGUGGGCAACCUGCCUGUAAGACUGGGAUAACAUCGGGAAACCGAUGCUAAUACCGGAUAAUGCAUUCCCUCUCAUGAGGGAAUGUUGAAAGUCGGUUUCGGCUGACACUUACAGAUGGGCCCGCGGCGCAUUAGCUAGGUGGUGAGGUAACGGCUCACCAAGGCGACGAUGCGUAGCCGACCUGAGAGGGUGAUCGGCCACACUGGGACUGAGACACGGCCCAGACCCCUACGGGAGGCAGCAGUAGGGAAUCUUCCACAAUGGACGAAAGUCUGAUGGAGCAACGCCGCGUGAGCGAUGAAGGCCUUCGGGUCGUAAAGCUCUGUUGUUAGGGAAGAACAUGUACCGGAGUAACUGCCGGUACCUUGACGGUACCUAACCAGAAAGCCACGGCUAACUACGUGCCAGCAGCCGCAGUAA
RNAcentral lists this ribosomal RNA (512 nucleotides) under uncultured bacterium. RNAcentral describes it as "partial 16S ribosomal RNA". It matches the Rfam family "Bacterial small subunit ribosomal RNA", at positions 28 to 523 of the family's 1533-position model. The record is from RNAcentral.